UACGUAGGGUGCAAGCGUUAAUCGGAAUUACUGGGCGUAAAGCGUGCGCAGGCGGUUUUGUAAGUCUGGCGUGAAAUCCCCGGGCUUAACCUGGGAAUUGCGAUGGAGACUGCAAGGCUAGAAUCUGGCAGAGGGGGGUAGAAUUCCACGUGUAGCAGUGAAAUGCGUAGAGAUCCGGAGGAAGACCGGUGGCGAAGGCGGCCUGCUGGGCAGUUACUGACACUGAGGCGCGACAGCGUGGGGAGCAAACAGG
Molecule: ribosomal RNA, 253 nt
Filed under: uncultured bacterium
Lineage: Bacteria
Description: partial 16S ribosomal RNA
Rfam family: Bacterial small subunit ribosomal RNA
Source: RNAcentral